Molecule: ribosomal RNA, 500 nt
Filed under: uncultured bacterium
Lineage: Bacteria
Description: partial 16S ribosomal RNA
Rfam family: Bacterial small subunit ribosomal RNA
Source: RNAcentral
AUUGAACGCUGGCGGCAUGCCUUACACAUGCAAGUCGAACGGCAGCACGGGAGCAAUCCUGGUGGCGAGUGGCGAACGGGUGAGUAAAGUAUCGGAACGUGCCCAGUCGUGGGGGAUAACGUAGCGAAAGUUACGCUAAUACCGCAUACGAUCUAUGGAUGAAAGCGGGGGAUCGCAAGACCUCGCGCGAUUGGAGCGGCCGAUAUCAGAUUAGGUAGUUGGUGGGGUAAGGGCUCACCAAGCCGACGAUCUGUAGCUGGUCUGAGAGGACGACCAGCCACACUGGGAAGGAGACACGGCCCAGACUCCUACGGGAGGCAGCAGUGGGGAAUUUUGGACAAUGGGCGAAAGCCUGAUCCAGCCAUGCCGCGUGCAGGAUGAAGGCCUUCGGGUUGUAAACUGCUUUUGUACGGAACGAAAAGGUUUGGCCUAAUAAGCUGAGCUCAUGACGGUACCGUAAGAAUAAGCACCGGCUAACUACGUGCCAGCAGCCGCCGUAA